Molecule: ribosomal RNA, 301 nt
Filed under: uncultured bacterium
Lineage: Bacteria
Description: partial 16S ribosomal RNA
Rfam family: Bacterial small subunit ribosomal RNA
Source: RNAcentral
CAGCCGCCGCGGGAAAACGUAGGGUGCGAGCGUUAAUCGGAAUUACUGGGCGUAAAGCGUGCGCAGGCGGUUUUGUAAGACAGGCGUGAAAUCCCCGGGCUCAACCUGGGAAUGGCGCUUGUGACUGCAAAGCUAGAGUGCGGCAGAGGGGGAUGGAAUUCCGCGUGUAGCAGUGAAAUGCGUAGAUAUGCGGAGGAACACCGAUGGCGAAGGCAACCCCCUGGGCCUGCACUGACGCUCAUGCACGAAAGCGUGGGGAGCAAACAGGAUUAGAGACCCGAGUAGUCCCUGUCUCUUAUAC